This 208-nucleotide long non-coding RNA is filed under the name Medicago truncatula (barrel medic). RNAcentral describes it as "long non-coding RNA (MTRU_LNC001558)". The record is from RNAcentral. Lineage: Eukaryota; Viridiplantae; Streptophyta; Magnoliopsida; Fabales; Fabaceae.
AAGUUUGCCAAUGUUGCGAUUUUGGCCCCCUAAUAAAAAAAAUGAAUAUUUUGCCCCCUAUGUUUUAGCCCCUUUGCAAAAGUGACCUUUUGAUCAAUUUUGACCGGGUCAACGCGGAGGUGGCACUUCAUUAAUAGUGCUGGCAUGCCACAUGUGUAUUUAACCAAUUUUUUUAAAAUCAAAAUGCCACCUGUGUAUUUACUUGAAU